This 253-nucleotide ribosomal RNA is filed under the name uncultured bacterium. RNAcentral describes it as "partial 16S ribosomal RNA". It matches the Rfam family "Bacterial small subunit ribosomal RNA", at positions 524 to 776 of the family's 1533-position model. The record is from RNAcentral.
UACGGAGGGUGCAAACGUUGCUCGGAAUCAUUGGGCGUAAAGCGCACGUAGGCGGCCUAUCAAGUCGGGUGUGAAAGCCCUGGGCUCAACCCAGGAAGUGCAUCCGAAACUGACAGGCUUGAAUGCCGGAGGGGCCCAGAGAAUUCCCGGUGUAGAGGUGAAAUUCGUAGAUAUCGGGAGGAAUACCAGUGGCGAAGGCGCUGGGCUGGACGGCGAUUGACGCUGAGGUGCGAAAGCGUGGGGAGCAAACAGG